RNAcentral lists this ribosomal RNA (777 nucleotides) under Amphidromus glaucolarynx. Its description in RNAcentral is "partial 16S ribosomal RNA". Lineage: Eukaryota; Metazoa; Mollusca; Gastropoda; Stylommatophora; Camaenidae. The record is from RNAcentral.
ACUAUAAUGGUAAAAUUAUAGAACACGAAGUAAUUUGAGCUAAUUAUUAUUGACUAUUAGCUUCAAGAACAAGGUGUGUAGCAUAAUACCUAGAAAAAUAAUAAUUAGGGGUGACAGGCCAAGCAAAAAUUAAGAUAUCUUGAUCUUAGGGAAAUUCAUUUAGUGUAGACGUCGGUUUUGGAGUGACUAGGCUCUAAAAGUAAAUUAAAAUUUAAGGGAAAUUUUUAUAGAUUUAAUAGUCGGUAAUACCUAAACAGAAUACUAAAGUAUUAAAUUUUAUUUAUUUUUACCAAAGGUGUUAAACUUUUAUAUAAUUCAUAAUGUUAAUAUGAGUAAAUCUAUAGGCUAAUAUAAUGAACUCGGCAAAUAUUCUCUCGACUGUUUACCAAAAACAUAACUGUGUGAAAUUACAUGCAGCGCUUUCUGCUCAAUGAUACUUAAAUAGCCGCAGUACCUUGACUGUGCAAAGGUAGCAUAAUCAGUUGGCUUAUAAUUGAAGUCUAGUAUGAAUGAAUAUACGGGGGGAUACUGUAUCAUAGUAGUAAAUUGAAAUUAUUUAAUAAGUGAAAAAGCUUAUACUUAAAUAAAAGACGAGAAGACCCUAGAAAUUUAAAUUAUAUUUUGUUGGGGCAACAUAGUAGCACAUUAAUCUACAAUAAUUAUAUAUGAAUCAUAUUAGAAGUAAGAUCAAAUUACUCUAGGGAUAACAGCAUAAUUCUAAAGAGUUUGUGACCUCGAUGUUGGACUAGGAAAUUUUAGUUUAGAAGACGUAAAAUA